Long non-coding RNA from Hordeum vulgare subsp. vulgare (domesticated barley), 529 nucleotides. RefSeq lists it as uncharacterized. Lineage: Eukaryota; Viridiplantae; Streptophyta; Magnoliopsida; Poales; Poaceae. The transcript is spliced from 3 exons. The record is from RefSeq and is a predicted model, not a curated record.
UUUCGUUUCAGAGAGCUCCGUCGCUGUUUCAGAGCCCCGCCAAUAUCUCCAAAACUCUCCGUGGUCAGGGAAACGAGAGGUGCUAGAGAUGGAUGGCGGCAAUCUGCUGGGUGCUGCAGGAGCUGAUCGAGCGAGGCGGAACAAGGCCAAGAUGAUGAUGACAGCGGUGCCCAGGGCCCGUCCUGAGAAUUCGGGGGCCCGGGGCAAAACCAAAGUCCGAGGCCCUCAACAUAAACAACGAAACAAUGGCGUAUUCCUUUGAUCCGAAAAUAUUUGUCGAAUAAAUGAAUGUAUAUAGAUGUAUUUUAGUUCUGGAUACAUUCAUUCUUAUCAAUUUUUGCGACAAGUAAUUCCGGACGGAGGGAGUAUAAAGGAAGUAGAAAAAUGUGCAUGUGUAUUCUUGGAAAUGCAUAGCGAUGCUUAUUGUGAGGCUUGUAUUGCAACUAUAAGAGUAUAUGAUGGGUACAAAAAGGUUCAUAGACAUGUGCAACUGCGGAGCUAUGUUGAUUUGGGAGGGGGUGGUCAACUU